This 440-nucleotide ribosomal RNA is filed under the name uncultured bacterium. Its description in RNAcentral is "partial 16S ribosomal RNA". It matches the Rfam family "Bacterial small subunit ribosomal RNA", at positions 338 to 795 of the family's 1533-position model. The record is from RNAcentral.
CCUACGGGAGGCAGCAGUGGGGGAUAUUGCACAAUGGGGGGAACCCUGAUGCAGCGACGCCGCGUGGGUGAAGAAGCGCCUCGGCGCGUAAAGCCCUGUCAGCAGGGAAGAAAAUGACGGUACCUGAAGAAGAAGCCCCGGCUAACUACGUGCCAGCAGCCGCGGUAAUACGUAGGGGGCAAGCGUUAUCCGGAUUUACUGGGUGGAAAGGGGGCGCAGACGGCGAUGCAAGCCAGGAGUGAAAGCCCGGGGCCCACCCCCGGGACUGCUCUUGGAACUGCGUGGCUGGAGUGCAGGAGGGGCAGGCGGAAUUCCUGGUGUAGCGGUGAAAUGCGUAGAGAUCAGGAGGAACACCGGUGGCGAAGGCGGCCUGCUGGACUGCAACUGACGUUGAGGCCCGAAAGCGUGGGGAGCAAACAGGAUUAGAUACCCCUGUAGUC